Molecule: ribosomal RNA, 591 nt
Filed under: Cichlidogyrus milangelnari
Lineage: Eukaryota; Metazoa; Platyhelminthes; Monogenea; Dactylogyridea; Ancyrocephalidae
Description: partial large subunit ribosomal RNA
Rfam family: Eukaryotic large subunit ribosomal RNA
Source: RNAcentral
CCCUACCCGAAGUCUAAAUCCGAUUGUGGCUUUGGAUUCAUUCCAUAGCGGGUGAAAGUCCCGUGCGGGUAGGACUAUUGCAUAUUCACACGAUCCUCAGAUGUGCAUGCUAUCGAGUCGGAUUGCUUGAGAAUGCAGUCCAAAGUGGGUGGUAAACUCCAUCCAAGGCUAAAUACUGGCACGAGUCCGAUAGUAGACAAGUACCGUGAGGGAAAGUUGAAAAGUACUCUGAAGAGAGAGUAAAUAGUACGUGAAGCCGAUUGCAGGGAAGCUGGUGGAGUCAAGCUUCGUGCUUGAGGGAUUGAUGCUGGGAGCAAGUGUGUGAAUUGUAUGCGGGGUCGGUCAACUUGGAAAGAGUUGAGCGUGUUCUGAAUGCGCUUCAAGUCAUUCUGGGUAGAGUGUUAUCGAGCUGAUCCCGCUUUACUACUCUCGGUAUUGUAUUCCUCGCUGCACAGGCCACAGUCAAUAAGUGCAUGCAGUGUGAUGGCCUAACUGUGCUUCGGUGGGUGCAAGCUCUCCGUGUGCAGGAUGGCAGGUACUGUCCUCAGGCCUCGUGUCUGUUGAUAGUUGUUGUGGUUUCGACCGGCUGGU